Molecule: unclassified non-coding RNA, 200 nt
Filed under: Pleosporales sp.
Lineage: Eukaryota; Fungi; Ascomycota; Dothideomycetes; Pleosporales
Description: partial internal transcribed spacer 2
Source: RNAcentral
UUAAGUUCAGCGGGUAUCCCUACCUGAUCCGAGGUCAAAAGUGAAAAAGGCUUGUGGAAGCGGGCGUAUAGCUUUGAAUCGCGACUUGUGCUGCGCUUCAAAACCAAACACCGGCUGCCAAUUGUUUUGAGGCGAGUCUACACGCAAAGGCGAGACAAACACCCAACACCAAGCAGAGCUUGAAGGUACAAAUGACGCUC